RNAcentral lists this ribosomal RNA (118 nucleotides) under Octopus bimaculoides (California two-spot octopus). Lineage: Eukaryota; Metazoa; Mollusca; Cephalopoda; Octopoda; Octopodidae. The record is from RNAcentral.
GCUUACGUCCAUAUCACGCUGAGAGCACCGGUUCUCGUCCGAUCACCGAAGUUAAGCAACGUCGAGCCUAGUGAGUACUUAGAUGGGUGGCCACUUGAGAAACUAGGUGCUGUAAGCG